Molecule: ribosomal RNA, 506 nt
Filed under: uncultured bacterium
Lineage: Bacteria
Description: partial 16S ribosomal RNA
Rfam family: Bacterial small subunit ribosomal RNA
Source: RNAcentral
GAUGAACGCUAGCUACAGGCUUAACACAUGCAAGUCGAGGGGUAACGAGAGGAAAGCUUGCUUUCCUUGUCGACGACCGGCGCACGGGUGAGUAACGCGUAUCCAACCUGCCCCCAACUAGGGAAUAACCUUGCGAAAGUAAGACUAAUACCCUAUAAUUUCCUCAGAUGUCAUCUGACGAGGAAUAAAGAUUUAUCGGUUGUGGAUGGGGAUGCGUCUGAUUAGCUUGUUGGCGGGGUAACGGCCCACCAAGGCAACGAUCAGUAGGGGUUUUGGGGGGAAGGUCCCCCACAUUGGAACUGGGACACGGUCCAAACUCCUACGGGAGGCAGCAGUGAGGAAUAUUGGUCAAUGGGCGGAAGCCUGAACCAGCCAAGUAGCGUGCAGGAUGACGGCCCUAUGGGUUGUAAACUGCUUUUAUACAGGAAUAAAGUUAGCCACGUGUGGUUAUUUGUAGGUACUGUAUGAAUAAGGACCGGCUAAUUCCGUGCCAGCCGCCGCGGUAA